AAAUACUAAGCAGUACCGCAUAGUAAAAAUAUUAAUACGCGUCAAAUACUAAGCAGUACGGCAUCAAAAAAAAUUUAUUCUAUCAAAACAUAUUACUAUCAGCCAUAAUAUUUAGACGCAUCAAAUAUUAAGCAGUACGGCAUUAACAGUUGAUCAAAACAAUGAACACUACCAAACGCUAAAACAUACUUCUAUAUAUACAUACACACGUAUCCUCAUAAACAUAUACAUUAUAUGAUAAAUACGUGAGAGAUUAGAAUUUACCCUUGAAGCGUGUGAACCCUAACCUUGAGAAGCCUCACGGUCACCGGAUGAGCACCACCACCACCUCCAAACUCCUCCAAACCACCACCAUUGUCCCAACUUAGCAACAAGAAAUUAGCUCAAAAUGUUCAACGAAAAGAAUAGAUCAAGGUGUCAUUGGGUGCUAAAUAGCAAGGGGAUUCAGUUUUGUGGGUUAAACGGGAUCAAAACUCACUCAUUUUGGCUAAAAAUUGGGGGCAUUUUUGAGGAAGAAGAAGAGGAGAAGAAGAACAGAAGGUGCAGGCAGGAAGAAGAAGAGGGCUCGGUGGGUUUGCCAGGGCUCGCGCGAUGGGAGGGGAGGAAAGGAAAGGGAAAGAGAAAAAGAAGAAAAGAGAAAAAGAAAAUUCCCCCGGCCC
Molecule: long non-coding RNA, 659 nt
Filed under: Brachypodium distachyon (stiff brome)
Lineage: Eukaryota; Viridiplantae; Streptophyta; Magnoliopsida; Poales; Poaceae
Description: long non-coding RNA (BDIS_LNC000222)
Source: RNAcentral